AUUGAACGCUGGCGGCAGGCCUAACACAUGCAAGUCGAGCGGAUGAAGGGAGCUUGCUCCUGGAUUCAGCGGCGGACGGGUGAGUAAUGCCUAGGAAUCUGCCUGGUAUUUGGGGAUAACGUCCGGAAACGGGCGCUAAUACCGCAUACGUCCUGAGGGAGAAAGGGGGGGAUCUUCGGACCUCACGCUAUCAGAUGAGCCUAGGUCGGAUUAGCUAGUUGGUUGGGUAAAGGCCUACCAAGGCGACGAUCCGUAACUGGUCUGAGAGGAUGAUCAGUCACACUGGAACUGAGACACGGUCCAGACUCCUACGGGAGGCAGCAGUGGGGAAUAUUGGACAAUGGGCGAAAGCCUGAUCCAGCCACGCCGCGUGUGUGAAGAAGGUCUUCGGAUUGUAAAGCACUUUAAGUUGGGAGGAAGGGCAGUAAGUUAAUACCUUGCUGUUUUGACGUUACCAACAGAAUAAGCACCGGCUAACUUCGUG
RNAcentral lists this ribosomal RNA (484 nucleotides) under uncultured bacterium. RNAcentral describes it as "partial 16S ribosomal RNA". It matches the Rfam family "Bacterial small subunit ribosomal RNA", at positions 30 to 507 of the family's 1533-position model. The record is from RNAcentral.